This is a small nuclear RNA of Mus pahari (shrew mouse), 65 nucleotides long. RefSeq annotates it as U7 small nuclear RNA. NCBI's taxonomy places the organism in Eukaryota, Metazoa, Chordata, Mammalia, Rodentia, Muridae. The record is from RefSeq and is a predicted model, not a curated record. The transcript has a single exon.
GAGUGAAUACAGCUCUUUUAGAAUUUUUUCUAGCAGGAUUUCUGAUUUUGUUCAGAAAAUCCAAA